CCUACGGGUGGCAGCAGUGGGGAAUAUUGGGCAAUGGGCGCAAGCCUGACCCAGCAACGCCGCGUGAACGAAGAAGGCUUUCGGGUUGUAAAGUUCUUUUCUCAGGGACGAAAGAAGUGAUGGUAGCUGACGAAUAAGCCACCGCCAACUACGUGCCAGCAGCCGCGGUAAUACGUAGGUGGGAAGCGUGCUCCCGAUAUACUGGGUGUAAAGGGCGUGUAGGUGGGAAAACAAGUCAGUUGUGAAAACCGUGGGCUCAAACUGAGGAGUGCAGUUGAAACUGUUAUACUUGAGUACUGGAGAGGCAGGCGGAAUUCCAAGUGUAGCGGUAAAAUGCGUAGAUAUUAGGAGGAACACCAGUGGCGAAGGCGGUUUGCUGGACAGCAACUGACGUUGAGGCGCGAAAGCGUGGGGAGCAAACAGGAUUAGAUACCCCAGUAGUC
RNAcentral lists this ribosomal RNA (443 nucleotides) under uncultured bacterium. RNAcentral's name for it is "partial 16S ribosomal RNA". It matches the Rfam family "Bacterial small subunit ribosomal RNA", at positions 338 to 795 of the family's 1533-position model. The record is from RNAcentral.